CGGCGAGGCUUCCUGACCGUUACACAAGGAGGCACUCGAUCAUGCUGUGGGAUACCCGGACAGGUACCCUUAGACGCCCGUCGUCGAUAGUAUGGUGUGAGGAUGGGUUAAAUGCCCA
This 118-nucleotide non-coding RNA is filed under the name Bacillus sp. CECT 9360. RNAcentral describes it as "epsC". It matches the Rfam family "epsC RNA". Lineage: Bacteria; Bacillati; Bacillota; Bacilli; Caryophanales; Bacillaceae. The record is from RNAcentral.